GCUAGCUAAAAGAGUGCUGUGUUGCAGGUGUUUGUAUAGUGCGGAUGAUUUAAUCCAUUAUGAAGGAGCAAUGCAGCAAAUCAAAACUUGAUUUUGAACAGGAUCUGCAAGGGUGCCCAGGGGAGUUCCUUUAGAGCAAAUCAAAUUGAAUGGAUGACUUCAGUCCAACACACAUGGACCAACAGAGGUUUGAGCCAAUGUGCAACAUGCUUCUGCAGUGCCCUGCCCGGCCCUGCCUGAGGAGACCUCUGGGUAACAAAAACAGGCUUGUUUUUUAUUUUUAUGGUGUAUUAAUAAAAAGUAAUUGGAG
Long non-coding RNA from Sebastes umbrosus (honeycomb rockfish), 310 nucleotides. RefSeq lists it as uncharacterized. The transcript is spliced from 3 exons. The record is from RefSeq and is a predicted model, not a curated record. NCBI's taxonomy places the organism in Eukaryota, Metazoa, Chordata, Actinopteri, Perciformes, Sebastidae.